Non-coding RNA from Osmia lignaria (orchard mason bee), 7097 nucleotides. NCBI's taxonomy places the organism in Eukaryota, Metazoa, Arthropoda, Insecta, Hymenoptera, Megachilidae. The record is from RefSeq and is a predicted model, not a curated record.
UUUAUCUAUACAUAUAACAUACGAUCCUAAGAAACAUAUUUAACAUUUUUACAUUUAAUUAUAUUUUCUGGAAAAUAGAAUAGGUGUAAUUUAUUAAGAUAAAAAUUUAAAAAUUUUUUGCAAUGCGCUUGUAUUUUGAUGUUGAAAGCUAUGAGAUGAAAUGGUGUAUUAUUAGGUGACAUAUGGUUUUAAAACAAGGAAAUGCAGCCUAACCUGAAAUGUAAUCAAAUAAGUGUAAAGCAAAAAAGUUGAUAUAUAUAUUUUGACAUAUGUAUAUAAUUAACAGAAAAGUAAUGUGAAAAGAGAUAAAAUGUACUGCCUCGAAUUUAAAGUUAAAUGUUUUAAAUAAUUAUCUCGAUAUACAAGAUGCAAAUAAUGCAGUUAAAAUAAAUAACAAAAUGGAGCAAAGUAUGAUGAUAAUAAAUAACCAUAGUCAGGAUGAUCAGAUGAUAAGAAAAGAAACAGAACCUUGGUUCAACGAACAAAAUUUAAACAUAAAUCAAGAACAGCCAUUAUCAUCUGAGACACCUUAUUAUAAAUAUCAGAAUAAUAUAGUAGGUGUUCCAGUUGGUAUAUCGACAAAUAUUCAAUGGUGGAGAGAUUCAUCGAUCACAAAUAUAGUAAUGCAAUCCGAAUAUCAACCGGAAAUAGCUCGUUCAUCAAAUUGCUCAUUAAUGAAUCACUGCAUAAGUGCUCAGUUAUCAGAUCAAUUAGAAGAGGUAGAGUUAAACUCAACAAAAGCUAUGAAAUCUAAACAAUUAAAAAAAUCAAAAACAAUGAAGGUAUGUAGAGAACCUUUAAAACGUACAAAAAAUCCAGAAAUGUGGAAAGUAAAUGUGAAAAAGAAUGCUAGACUAAGAGGUGAAGAAUACAUUGGAGUUGGAGGAAAAAUAGUACCAGCAAAAACCAUGGGGCCACCUUGUAAAUGUCGCAUACGUUGUACCGAAAAAAUUGAUGAAGUAUCUCGAGAAGAGUUGCAUAAUGUUUUUUGGAAAACAUGCAGCUGGGAACAACGAAAACAAUAUGUUGCAUUAUUAGUCAAGGAAUCUCCAAAGCAACGAACUCGGUGUCGCGGAAAUGUUAAAUCGGAACAUCGUAGACAAGUUACUUUCACUUACUCUCUUUUAUUAAAAGGAGAGUUUAUCACAGUGUGUAAGUGCAUGUUCCUGAGUACUUUUUCAGUGUCUGAGAAAUUUGUGCGACACGUAAUGGAGAAAAAAAGGAUAUCUCCUGGAGGAAUUAUAGGGCCAGACCAAAGAGGAAAGCAUAUACCAAAAACAAAAAAGAGCGAAAGUGUUAAGGAUAGAGUGCGCGAACAUAUUAGAUCAUUUCCAACGGAAAAAUUGAUAAAUCCAAAAAAUCGUAUAGAAAAAGGAUAUCUAGACUCUAGAUUAAGUAUAGCCGCUAUGCAUAAACUUUAUGUGUUAAAGUGUAAAGAAGAAGGCGUUUUCGAAAGUGACAUAGUUAAGGAAAGUUAUUACAGGGAAAUGUUUAAGACGGAAUUUAAUCUUGGUUUUGAACGAGAAGAAUCUAAAGAUGGCAAACAGUUACCAGGUAUUAUUUAAAACCAGACGAUUAUAACCAGUAAAUAAUUCCAUUAUUUUUUUUUUUUUUUUGUAUAAUGAAAAAUUCUUCAUUUUCAAUGUUGCCAUACAUUUCAUAUAGAAAUGUUUACAAGUAUUUACGUUUAACAUUACCAAUUUUAAUAUUAAGUUCGACAUUUUAAAUUUGAUAUAAAACAGUAUUCAGUGAAUAGUAUCAAAUAACGUUAUUACAUAACAAUAUAUUUGACACAAUGUGUGCUAAUUAAAAUCUAUUCAAAAUAGGAGUACAAAAUGACACAUAGUUUUUUGUCGAUUACAAUAUGCUAGUGUAUAUAUUAUAUUUUUUAGUCUAUAUGUUGUAUUAUAUUUUCUGUAGUCUUUUUAAAGUUUAUAAUUAUGAAAUGUUCUUUGAACGAAUUUCCAAAUAUAAUUACACGUUUUAUGCUAAAGCAUAAAUAUACAAAUGUUAAAUACAAAACAUAUUUACAUAUAUUUUUAUAUACUGUAACAUUCAUUAUAAAAUAUGCUAUUGUCAAAAAAAUAACAGAUCUAUAUUUUUAAUUGCUACGCAUUGAAUGUACAGUAAAUCAUAGUUUUUUAGUGUUUAGUAAUUUAAAAGAAUUAUGUACAAAAUAUACAAAAUAUUAAAAAAAAAAAAUUAUAGACUAUGCAUAAUAGAAACUUGCAGAAUUAAACGUGGACGUGUUAUGUUAAAGCGUAUUAUCUUCACGGUUCAAUUUCCUUUUGAUAACUUUAACUGACUACAGUACAGCUUUUUUACCUGUUAUUGAAUUUCAGUUCCAUUAUCAUUAAUCCUGUCUUUCUUCUGAAGAUGAACUAACUUCUUUACAUCGUUUCGUUGCCGCUUCAACUGCUCCGAUUACUGCUGAUCUCAAACCAUGCUGUUCUAAGUAAUGAAUUCCCGUUAUGGUAGACCCUGAAAGAGGUAGAAAGGAAUAAUUGAUAAGUAAAAAGAUGUUAAGAGAGUGAGAAAUAUUUCGGAUAAUAUAAAAUUCAUUCUCCUCAAACCUGCUGGUGAAGCUACAUCAUCUUUCAAUUGUCCUGGAUGGGUAUUCGUGUCUCGCACCAUGGUAGCAGCUCCAAGCACAGUCUGGGCGGCUAAUUUAUACGCUGUAUGCCUCAUCAAGCCCAUUUUUACACCUCCAUCGGCUAAAGCUUCUAUCAUCAUGUAUACCUGAAUAAGAGAAUAAUUUUUAUAUUUAUCUUUCAAUUUAAAUAUGUCAAUGAUUUAUAAAUAUACAUUAACAAAUUGUGUACAAAUUUACAUAUGCAGGUCCAGAGCCAGCUAAAGCAGUGACAGGAUCAAUUACAUUUUCAGGAACUUCUUCGCAGAAACCAACAGCAGAAAACAGCUUUUCUGCUAUUUCAGCCUCUUUAUCGCCAGCAGAUUUUCCACGUGCAUAUACAGUUGCACCACAGCCCACAAGGGCUGGGGUGUUGGGCAUCACCCUUAUCACUGGCGUUCCUUGCGGAAGAGCCUAAGUUAAAAUUAAACGUUUCAGUAAUAAAACGACGCCUGACGAUAAAUCUUGUACACAACGUAAGCCAUCCUAAUCUCAUAAUUACUGCAAUUUACUUGUUCAAAUUUUACAAUCUCACCUUCUCCAGUGUUGACAGCGGAAUACCCAUAGCAAUAGACAGUAAAAGUUUCCUAUAAUUUUUUAAAUCUGGAAGAACUUUCGGAACCACUUGUGGUUUUACCGAUAAAAUUAGAACAUCACCGUGAUCAACGACGGGUCCAUUCGAAUGUACAGUGUUUGAUCCUAUUUCCUGGAAUUACAAUGAAGGACAAUAAUAAGAAAAAUAAUAAGAUCUAUGAUAAUUACUGUCAAGAUAUCCAAUAAAAACGCAUUGGUAAAUGUAAAAAUUUGAGGUAAACUAAACUCCAGAGUUGCAAUGUUUUCCAUAGAGUUAUCGUGAAACAAAGAUAAGGCACACGAUAUUGGAAAUUUUCCUAGACCCGAUAAUGACCGAGAAAUAACAAUUGAUGCGAAGUUUAUAAGCAAUUAAUAUUACGAUUCAAGUUGUACAUACGAUCUCAAAAGCAAGAACGUUAUCGAGCAAUCAGUUUAGAUUAAGUAAUAAAGGAUUUAAAGAUCGAUCGAAUAUCGAGGAUGCAAGAGUGAAAAGUUGUGCCGACAUAACAAGAAGAAUUAUUGACACGUUGGUAAAAGGAGAAAUUCGACUCACCUUAAACGCUUCUAUGCUACCCAUGUCGUUUGGAAGACAGCUGGCCAGCAUCAUAUCACCUUUACUUAAUCCUGCAAAUUAUAAGUAAUAAUUUCUUUUAUUAAUUAAGCACGUGGAACGCCCUGGUACAGCAUAGUUCUCUUGAAACUUAAAAUGAUAGUAUCAAUGGCAUCGAGGAUACGUGUUUGUUUUGUACCUGCUCGAAUGAAACCUUUGGCCAAAGCUUGGGCCAUUUUUCCACCACCCAAAAAUCCAAUUUUCAACAUCUUCGUGUCAAUGUUCAAGGAGAUCCUUUUUCUUUUCUCUUCGCCGUCAGCGAGAAGUUGAUCGCUCACUAUAAAAAAAUAGAUUAUUAUUGAUACUUGCAAAAAGAUGUAUGUAGGUAUAAUAUUACAAUAUGGUUCGAAAACAAUUUUAAUCUUACACAGUUCUUACCGUAUUUUUCUUUUUUCUCUAAUGUUUUAGCAACUAUGAAACUCGAAGAACUGUCGAGUACGUAACAAGUAUAGGAGUAACGAUAUUGAGAGAGAAAAGUUUCGAAAAGUUUCGAAUUUGCGCUGCACAAAGACAGUCGGAUACCGUUCGUUCGCGAUAUUUACAAGUAAAUCGGUACUAUAAUUCUCGUUCAUCUCUCUCGACGAAGAAACGAUUUCAAUAGUUUUUUCUUUUUAUGUAAUCGUACUCGAGAUAAGGUCCUCGCCUAUAUGUAUGUACGUUCAUAACGCACUUACCACAAAGAACGCGCGUACUAAACCGUCUCUACAAUUUCGCGGUUUCGCCUGUGAAUUAUUAAACGUUUCUAUCGUUUCAAGAAAGAAAUAUGAAAAGGUAUGAUUUAUUGUAACAGCAGGAAAUGCUUUAAAUUGCAGGAAACAAAAUUGUUUGCGGUAUGCUUUUAGUAAACAAUUAUACAGCCCGUUAUGCAGGUUUAAGGUCAUAUCAAGAUCACACUGUGAGAUGAACAGAGGGAUAGAUCGAAGAGAAACUAGGUCACGCAACAAACGUUUAUUAACAAGACUCUUCAGCGGAAAAUCUGGAAAAUGAACGAUUUACCUAAAAGGCGAGAAGCUUUUAUCCUUCUUCUUGAAAAAUAAAACUUGCAUCGGUCAAAACAAUGACGCAAUUAUCUGUUUUCAUAACUGGGAAGAAUGAGCUGAACAUCAGUAAUGGAACAUAUACAUAUGUAUAGUAUAGUAUAAUAGAGUGUUUCAACCAUCAAACGAUACGAUACCUUCGUAAACAAAUGAUAAAAUGACAUGAACAGGUCCGUGAAAUCAGAAACAUCUGUUAACAUGUUCGCUGUGAAUUGAAGCCAUGGACAUUUGCUGGGCGAAUAAAAUGAUAUUAAUAAUAUAAAUUAAUUAAGUGUGGCUCGCUUUGUAGGAAUAUUGCCAAGAUAUGCACGAUAUGCAGCCGACACGGAUCUGCGACGUCCGCAGCAAACGUGCUAAUCUCUUGUUUUUAACUAUUCUCGUCUUUUAUUGACUAUGCAUAAAAAAGGAUCAUGUAGACGUCCGAAGUAUAAUUUGAAACAAUGGAUGCGAAGCUUUGUUGCGAUUUCAAUUAACGGUACUCAAGGAUGAACUGCUGAAAGUAAAAAUAACGUUAAUCUAAGGACCAUUCAUCCCAAAAUACGUUGAUUUAUCUCGUUAUCCAGUAAAAUUCUUUUGCCUUGAUUAUGCCUCGAUGUUUAAUACACCUUGCUUUUCUGACUGCCCUUAUAUACCAACGUGAGUUAUCACAAGGUGCUGAAAUACUCGACUGAUGGUUCCUGUUCAUCAGACGCGGAAAACUACCUAUUCGGUUGCGGCCAAUCACAAUCCACUCAUAAUUGUGUCACCCCUUAUCUGAUACAGUGUACGUACAUACAUAUUUCCAAGUCUAACGAAUAGGAUCUGAAAUUACAGCCAGGUAUAGCGUCGUAUUUAUACUAACGAGAGGAACUACCCAAAUAUUACGCUCACUUAUUAAUGAAACUCUGCCACCUUGUAGAGCUCGUCAAGCUGAAUACGCCUAUACCCCAUUUUGGAAGUUAGUUACUCCUUACAUUCUGAAGUAUAACAAACUCGCACAUAAAAACGGUUAUAGAGGUCUACGGUUUAAAUCCUUGGUUUCUAACGUAUUUUUUUUUUUCUUAGUGACAGUUUCUUUCUUUAUGAAUACCAGUUAUUUAUUAAUUUAUUGAUAAAACAAGGGAUACGGAGAUCCAGUGAUUUAGUGGUAGUCCCCGCGAGGCUCAUAAAAAGAAUGAAGAAAUAAGUAUUUGCCAAGGGAGUCCUUGGUCCAUAAAGAGGAGUAGGAUAAUAAAUAAUUAUGAGGGCGUGGGUUGUGGCCCAUAAAGAAGGAUAAAAUAAUUAAUAACUGAAAGGGGUGACCUUGGUCUGUAAAGAGGGAUAAAAUUAUAUAAAUAACUGGAAAAAGUGAAAUAAAAGGGGUCCUCGGCCGAGGCCCAGAAUAGGGAUACAAUCAUAAAUAUUAUUCCCCUUCGAUGAGCUUAUUUAAUAAAUAAAGUAAAUUAAAUAAACUCCGGAAAGAAAUUAGAGGAUGAAUAUUAUAAUGGUUGUGCCCUCUACGUACGGGCCUGAUUUCAUCAUGGGGUAUCACGGACCCCGAAGCACUGGUGGUGCUCUAUGCAUACCGACCUGACAUCAUCAUGGGGUAUCAGGGACCCCGAAGCAUCAGUGACACUGUAUACCGACAUUAUGAUAUCGGGGUGUCAGGAACCCCGAAGCUAAAAUGUGUGACCCAUAGACUUUCUUUAAACUAUUACAUCGGAUGCGGGAUGAGUCACUAUAUAAUAUAGGAAAGUUUCACCCAUUAAAUUAGUGUUCUUUAUAUAUUAAUUAAUAAAACUGUGGCUAUUUCGGAAAAAUUGAGCGGAUUGUAUCAGCAAUUGUUGACGCCGAUAAAGUACGCGACAAUUAUACCGACGAUGGGCAAUACCGACGAUGGAGAAUGCCGACAGUAGGUAAUAUCGACGAUGGGUAAUACCGACAGCAGGUAAUACUAACGUAUCUCUUUUUACGAAAUUUUUUUAUGGAUUAUAUCUUUUUUUAAAUAAUACUUAUUAACGUCCAAAUGAUGGUUAAUGCUAUGACCGAUCGGCUACCUUUGAGAUCAACUUUCAUCAGAGAAGUUCAGUACGCUUUCACAUCAAGUAGGUUCACGAUAACGGUACAUCAGAAGUGAAAUUAGAAAGUUGCAUAAAGUACAAACAUCUUAACUGCAAUAGCCUAUUUCAAAGAAAUAUUUACAUAUGUGACAUAUAGAAGUGUGACAAGUCGUGCGACAUUCAGCAGUGAUUUUUGAUCCUGUAACCCCACUUCAGUCAAUAUUCAGUCA